GUGCUAGAGAGAAGAAAACACUGGGAGCUAAGCUAAGCUACUAAGCUGCUGUGAUGUUGCGUAAGGUUCAAGGUUGCUGCCUCCGGGUUCCUGAAUUUCCUGCUCUGACUUUACUCAGUAAAGGACUUUUAAACUGUAAGGGCCAUUAGUUUUCUGGAGGAGCAAGAAGCUGCCUUGGGUGCCACCUUAUGCCCUGCUGUCCCCGUAGUACUCUCCAUCAGGAACAGAUCUCACGGUGGCAACAGGACUCUGCAUUUUCAGUGUUGACUCCUGGCUGGCUGGUAAUGAUUGAACAUACACUCUGUCAACCGAGGCAACAGUAUAAGCUAGAAGCUAAUGAGCAAGGGAGUGAACUGUUCACAUGGACACUGAACACCAGGGUACCAUUUAGAAGAGGAAUGGAACAAUGGAGAACGAGGCUCCACAUCUGUGAUCAAGCAAAGCUGAUGGACCAACGUGACUCUCUGCAGUGAGAGCAAGGCGCUACUCCUUGAAUGGAGGAGCCCGUGAGAUAAGAGCAGGAGGAAGGCCUCACUGAGGCCCGCACUCUUCUUCUCCAGGCAGAGUGACAAUCCCAGCAGUUGUGCAAGUCAAAACCCUCUCUUUCUUUCUCACAUGCAUCCCAGCCUUCCAGUCCACACAUACAAGUUAAUGUGGAGGUAAGGGGAGCAGGGGUUACACACGGACAAAGCUUUCCUAAACUCUGUAUCAUAGUUGUGAGAUUAAACAACUCAUUACACAGCUCUUACUGUAAUUUAGAUGGGGAGAAAUAACAUUACUAUACAACCACAUUAAGCAUAUGGGCUCAUAAAAAUGCCCUGCCAACCCCAAGAACAACAUUUGUUUAUGUAAAAGAUGUUACUAUGCUUAAGGCAAUGUGCUCAGUUCUGAGUCUUUUUGUGUUAGUGUAGAUAGCAUCAGAGUACCAUUGAGGCCAGGCUCAACUCUAUACUACCUCCAAACAUUUCAAUACUUCAUGCUUGUAAGUAUUCAGAAGUCACUAUGGCUCUUUUUUUUUUUCUCCCCAAGACAGGGUUUCUCUGUGUAGUUUUGGCGCCUAUCCUGGAUCUUGCUCUGUAGAUCCACCUGGCUCUGCCUCCCCAGUGCUGGGGUUAAAGGCAUGAGCCACAGCCGUCCAGCCACUAUGGCUCUUUUAUACACACUCAUAAUACUUCAAAGUACAAUAAGAAAAAAAAAAAUCUAGAUUUUUAUUUUAAAUAUUUUAAUGAAUUAAUAUUCUUUUUGGGACCCACAUGCUUUUCAUAUUUAAAUUUAGGUUGUAAAACAAGUUCAGCAAUUAUACAACAAAAUGGGUUGCUGCAAACUAUAGCUGUAUUUACUGAAUGAUCUGUUUUAGAAAGCCAUAAUACUAACUCUGAAAAGUUCCAAGGAAGGACACCAAGACUCAAGCCUUGUCCUGUCCUGACAACUUUCACAGGGCAGCAGAUAUUCCCCAUAUUCUGCCGUGUUUGCAUCAACAUCCUUCACUUUAAGAGUUAAUUUCUGUCCACAAUCCUUGGAUACGGAACAGUCCCAACAAAGGACAAAAGCUAACUUGCUUAACCUAAAAUGCUGGCAUCCAACAGGGUUGCAAAUUAUGGGAUAGCAACAGAAGAGCAAAGUCCCUGGAAAGGGAAGUUCCUGCCUCUCCUGGAACAGAGAUCCCUGUGGUCUCCUAAAUGUCAGUAAAAGACAUGGAGGGGAUUGGAAGGGAAUCAAGUAUCUGUGCACAAAAGAAGCUUCAGCAGCAGCUCCCCCAUCUGCACCAGCUUCGGUGAGAUACCUGAGUCUCAUGACAUAAAAAUGCAUCGCUGCCAAUAAAAUCUCUGAAGACUGACCAUCUGUGCCGUGAGGAGGUGCCAGCACAGAGCGGCUGUAGCAGAAAUGGGACAGAGCAGCUCUGACAGGGUGACGCCACCUCCCCGCCUGUGCACGCAACUCAAAGAAAGCACUCAGAUGCCAUUUUGGAAGAAAUGUUUUCAAGUUCAUUUUGCACACAUCAAAUAAAGAAAAAAACAAGUAAACCAAAAUCUUAACUUCCUUCAUCACAGACCUCUCGUCCUAGGGAAGUCUGUGUUUACAAAAAGUUGUUCUGUGUCCCCUUUGAAUUAAAUAAAUCCUAAGACUAAAACAAAACAA
Long non-coding RNA from Peromyscus leucopus (white-footed mouse), 2139 nucleotides. RefSeq lists it as uncharacterized. The transcript has 4 exons. The record is from RefSeq and is a predicted model, not a curated record. Lineage: Eukaryota; Metazoa; Chordata; Mammalia; Rodentia; Cricetidae.